Molecule: ribosomal RNA, 478 nt
Filed under: uncultured bacterium
Lineage: Bacteria
Description: partial 16S ribosomal RNA
Rfam family: Bacterial small subunit ribosomal RNA
Source: RNAcentral
GACGAACGCUGGCGGCGUGCUUAACACAUGCAAGUCGAACGGUAAGGCCCUUCGGGGUACACGAGUGGCGAACGGGUGAGUAACACGUGGGUGAUCUGCCUUGCACUUCGGGAUAAGCCUGGGAAACUGGGUCUAAUACCGGAUAGGACCCUGGGAUGCAUGUCCUGGGGUGGAAAGCUUUUGCGGUGUGGGAUGGGCCCGCGGCCUAUCAGCUUGUUGGUGGGGUGAUGGCCUACCAAGGCGACGACGGGUAGCCGGCCUGAGAGGGUGACCGGCCGAACUGGGACUGGGAUACGGCCCAGACUCCUACGGGAGGCAGCAGUGGGGAAUAUUGCACAAUGGGCGCAAGCCUGAUGCAGCGACGCCGCGUGAGGGAUGACGGCCUUCGGGUUGUAAACCUCUUUCAGCACCGACGAAGCGCAAGUGACGGUAGGUGCAGAAGAAGGACCGGCCAACUACGUGCCAGCCGCCGCGGUAA